RNAcentral lists this long non-coding RNA (508 nucleotides) under Homo sapiens (human). Its description in RNAcentral is "non-protein coding lnc-APOBEC3H-1:1". Lineage: Eukaryota; Metazoa; Chordata; Mammalia; Primates; Hominidae. The record is from RNAcentral.
CAGACCCCUUAGAUAGGAAUUUGCACAAGCUGAAAAGAUCAGAGCUUAGCCCACACAAAGUAGAUGAAUAGGAGAAAAGGCAUACUAAUUUAUUAACAUGUCCAUGAGAGAGAAUGACAGAGGGAGCACUCCAACCCCACAAAGAGCUGUAGCAGUUCAUAUACCAUCUUGAGGUUACAGAAAGAUUUGGGGCUUGGAUCCUGGCAAAACAGGCUAUGGGAAAGGGAGAAGAGGAGGCCUGGCUGGCAAAGGUGGUCUUGUUAUGUAGAUGAAACCUCACAGAUAGCAGUCCUCGGAGGAAAAAGAUGGUAAAUGUUUCUUUCAGAGUUUUAGGGUGUCAGAAUCUCAGUUCCUCUUUCCUAGAUCUGGACAAGGGAGGGCCUGGGAGAAAACCAGGCUGCAGCAAUGCAGAUUUUCUACAGAUGCAAAUCUCCCCCACAAAAGACCGCUUUUGCCGGGCGCGGUGGCUCAAGCCUAUCUGUAAUCCCAGCACUUUGAGAGGCCGAGG